CCCAGGCACCCGAAUGAUUCAGGUUUCGUCGAGCCCGAGUCAAGUAAAUUUGGUUCUCUGGUUCGAUUCAACCAGAUGAGAACGACAUCCUCAAAUUCGGACCCGUGCCCUAAAUGCAGCGGUGAAACUGUCUCCUUCUCUACAGCGACCGCGACUGCGGCGUUUUCCUCGGCGAAAGGCGGCAGCAGCGGCGGCAUCUUCCUCCGUCGAGCUCUUAUCGCUGCGGCGUUUUCCUCCGAGAACGGUGGAUGCUGCGGCUUCCUCUCCGUCAGCGAACGGUACAGCGCCCGGGAUAUGGGAUGCUUGGUAGUGUCUAAACCCACCAACUACAAUGGAAAAAUAAGUGGAAUAUUGUGUCUGUGCGCUGGUGUUGUCUGAUGCCAUUAUUUCAGUGGUGGAGAAUUGCUCGGAUAUGAGCAUGAUAAUAAGUAACUAAGCAUAGGUACUCUUUAUCAACUCUCAAACACCAUUUAGAGACUUAUCUCUGAAAGAAAUGGCUGAUUGGAACUAAAUGCAUGUGCAUUAACAUGAUUGGUAAAGGAAUGUUGUCUGAGACAGAUGAUUAGUCGAAAGUUUUCAACAUCCUUGAUUUGAGGUAGAAGAGGAAUUUGGACUUGGAGAGGGCAUAAACAAGACUACUUUUCUUGUAUUUUUCUGCAAACAGUGCGGGAUACUGCCUCAAAAGACUAAUGUUUUCGGUCCAGCAGAGGCUCUUUUACCUUCUCUCUUGUAACAAGUCCAACAUCCAUCUUUCCUCCUAUCAACUCUGCAGUCUGUUUAGCUUUUCCACUGCCAAAGAGCACAGUUCAAAUCAUAGAUCCAACUUUACAUUGGUCGACCCCCUUGAGUCAUGUGAACUUUCCUCAAAAGAGGCUGCAAAAACGGCUGAUGAUCGCAUCUGUGAAAAAAAACUUUCAAGUUCAAGUCCUUCCAUUGAGUUCUUUAAGCAGAGUGGUUGGAGUGAUGCACAAGUCAUGAAGCUUAUGCAGAGGGAACCCGGGUUUCUACGUGCUAACGUAGAGACUAUCCUGAAGCCUAGGAUGAGAUCUUUGCAGGACAUGGGAUUUUCUGACACUGAAAUAGUUCAGCUGGUUUCAUCAUGUCCAAGGGUGCUCCUUCUACGUGACAUCCAACUGAGGAUCAACUUCUGGAGGUCACUUCUUGGUUCUAAUGAGUGGUUAAUUAAAGCCUUCAGGAGGAGCAUGUUUCUCCUUACUUCUAGCUUGGCUCGAAAGAUUGAGCCCAAUAUAUCUCUCUUGAGGGAAUGUGGCAUUAGUGAACAACGCAUUGCGCAGAUGGUGGUGAAACUACCAAGAUUUUUAUGUCGAACAGAAAAAUGUAUCAAGGAAUUUAUCGAACACGUUGAGGAGUUGGGUGUGUCACGUGACUGUAAAAUCUUCCCUCGUGCACUAUUAUCAGUCAUGACCCUGAGCAGGUCCAGGUUUGAUGCUACCUUUGCAACCCUGAUGAGCUUUGGGUGGUCCCAACCAGACUGCAUUGCUGCAUUCAGGAGGCAUCCAGUCAUUUGGAAUCUCUCAAAGAAGAACUUAUGUGAUAAGAUGACAUUCCUGAUGAAGGAAGCUGGUUGUGAGCUGACAUAUAUCAUUUAUCAUCCUGUGCUUCUUACAUAUAGCUUGGAGAAGAGGUUGAGACCUCGAUAUGAAGUUAUGAAUUUUCUUGAUCAGAAUAAAUUGCUGGAUAAAGGAUAUAACCUGCAAUUUGUCGUGAAGCUAUCUGAAGAGAAGUUCAGAAACAAAUUCCUUUUCCUGCUACGCAAGGAGAAUUUUAUUGCUCAAUAUGAUUCCUAUGUCGUUGCUGUGCAUGGAAAGCACGACGUUGUUGUGGAAAACUAGGAUUGCAAGUGCUUCCUUAAGACAAAGUGUCAACCUAUUGCAUGCUGACUGCAAGUUAAUCACUUUUUAUUUGUGACCAUUUAAAUUCUGCAGGAGUUUCUUUGAGUAUAACUUCCACGUUGAUUUGGUGAUUGUUCUUCUAUUUAUUUUUUCUACAACAAAAGGUACUGUUUCUUUUA
Musa acuminata AAA Group (dessert banana) is the source of this 2032-nucleotide long non-coding RNA. RefSeq lists it as uncharacterized. Lineage: Eukaryota; Viridiplantae; Streptophyta; Magnoliopsida; Zingiberales; Musaceae. The record is from RefSeq and is a predicted model, not a curated record. The transcript has 2 exons.